RNAcentral lists this long non-coding RNA (394 nucleotides) under Ananas comosus (pineapple). RNAcentral's name for it is "long non-coding RNA (ACOM_LNC011155)". The record is from RNAcentral. Lineage: Eukaryota; Viridiplantae; Streptophyta; Magnoliopsida; Poales; Bromeliaceae.
UCUUUUAAUUUAUUCGAUUUUAAUUAAUCAAUGAUUUCUUGACUUUAAAAUUUAAAUACCUGAUUUAUUUUUAGAAAUUUAGUUAGUAUAUUUCAUAUAGAUUUCUCAACUAUAAAUUUAUUAAAAUAAAUAAUUAUCUUAAAUUUUAAAAAUAAAAUAAUAUUGACCGAUUAAAGUCAAAUUGUAACUUCCCAGUAGUCAUAUAUAUCGGAUGAAAAAGAAGUUAUGAUUUGAUAUAUAAAAUAUCUCUAUGCUAACAAUAAUAACUGGACUUAACCUCUUGAACUCAUAAAAGUUAUUUUAUGAGAGACCUCCAUGCUAAUAAUAAUAAUUUAAUAAAUUAUUAUUACUAGCAUGUCGGGUCCUUAUGAAAAGGAAUUCAAAAAUUAAAUGA